This 893-nucleotide ribosomal RNA is filed under the name Thermotogae bacterium enrichment culture clone BSK_75. RNAcentral's name for it is "bacterial SSU rRNA". It matches the Rfam family "Bacterial small subunit ribosomal RNA", at positions 8 to 916 of the family's 1533-position model. Lineage: Bacteria; Thermotogati; Thermotogota; Thermotogae. The record is from RNAcentral.
AGAGUUUGAUCAUGGCUCAGGGUUAACGCUGGCGGCGUGCGUAACACAUGCAAGUCGAACGGGCCAUUACUCUUUGGAGUGAUGGUUAGUGGCGAACGGGUGAGUAAAAGGUAGGGACCUACCCCGAGGACAGAGAUAGCUACUGGAAACGGUAGGUAAACUCUGAUAAGCCCGAGAGGGGAAAGUGGAAGGCAGCCUUGGGAUGGACCUACUAUCCAUCAGGUAGUUGGUGAGGUAAAGGCUCACCAAGCCGAUGACGGAUAACCGGUGUGAGAGCAUGUACGGUCACAAGGGCACUGAGACACGGGCCCUACUCCUACGGGAGGCAGCAGUGGGGAAUAUUGGACAAUGGGCGAAAGCCUGAUCCAGCGACGCCGCGUGAAGGAAGAAGUCCUUCGGGAUGUAAACUUCUGAACUAAUCGAAUAAAAGGGUAGUGGACACACUACAGAAGAAGGUAGAUUAGGAAAAGUCCCGGCUAACUACGUGCCAGCAGCCGCGGUAAGACGUAGGGGGCGAGCGUUGCCCGGAAUCACUGGGUGUAAAGGGGACGUAGGCGGAUGAUCAAGUCAUCUGUGAAAAGAUUGCUCAACGAUUGGCUUGCGGAUGAAACUGGUCAUCUUGGGCGUAGCAGAGGUAGACGGAAUUACCUGAGUAGGGGUGAAAUCCGCAGAUACAGGUAAGAACGCCGGUGAAGAAGUUGGUCUACUAGGCUACAGCUGACGCUGAGGUCCGAAAGCCAGGGGAGCGAACCGGAUUAGAUACCCGGGUAGUCCUGGCUGUAAACGAUGCUCACUAGGUGUAGGGAGCGAAAGACUCUCUGUGCUGAAGCUAACGCGAUAAGUGAGCCACCUGGGGAGUACGUCCGCAAGGAUGAAACUCAAGGAAUUGACGG